GAGUUUGAUCCUGGCUCAGGAUGAACGCUGGCGGCGUGCCUAAUACAUGCAAGUCGAGCGAACGGACGAGAAGCUUGCUUCUCUGAUGUUAGCGGCGGACGGGUGAGUAACACGUGGAUAACCUACCUAUAAGACUGGGAUAACUUCGGGAAACCGGAGCUAAUACCGGAUAAUAUUUUGAACCGCAUGGUUCAAAAGUGAAAGACGGUCUUGCUGUCACUUAUAGAUGGAUCCGCGCUGCAUUAGCUAGUUGGUAAGGUAACGGCUUACCAAGGCAACGAUGCAUAGCCGACCUGAGAGGGUGAUCGGCCACACUGGAACUGAGACACGGUCCAGACUCCUACGGGAGGCAGCAGUAGGGAAUCUUCCGCAAUGGGCGAAAGCCUGACGGAGCAACGCCGCGUGAGUGAUGAAGGUCUUCGGAUCGUAAAACUCUGUUAUUAGGGAAGAACAUAUGUGUAAGUAACUGUGCACAUCUUGACGGUACCUAAUCAGAAAGCCACGGCCAACUACGUCG
RNAcentral lists this ribosomal RNA (517 nucleotides) under uncultured microorganism. Its description in RNAcentral is "bacterial SSU rRNA". It matches the Rfam family "Bacterial small subunit ribosomal RNA", at positions 9 to 508 of the family's 1533-position model. The record is from RNAcentral.